GCAAGUGUAGUUUAAACCAAAACAUUAGGCUGUGAUCCUAAAAACAGAAGUUAAACCCUUCUCGCUCGCC
Molecule: transfer RNA, 70 nt
Filed under: Alaudala cheleensis (Asian short-toed lark)
Lineage: Eukaryota; Metazoa; Chordata; Aves; Passeriformes; Alaudidae
Description: tRNA-His
Rfam family: tRNA
About the family: Transfer RNA (tRNA) molecules are approximately 80 nucleotides in length. Their secondary structure includes four short double-helical elements and three loops (D, anti-codon, and T loops).
Source: RNAcentral